This 370-nucleotide transfer-messenger RNA is filed under the name Ciceribacter sichuanensis. It matches the Rfam family "Alphaproteobacteria transfer-messenger RNA". From Rfam's summary of the family: Bacterial tmRNA, also known as 10Sa RNA or SsrA, is named for its dual tRNA and mRNA-like properties. Its role is to liberate the mRNA from a stalled ribosome. To accomplish this part of the tmRNA is used as a reading frame that ends in a translation stop signal. The record is from RNAcentral. Lineage: Bacteria; Pseudomonadati; Pseudomonadota; Alphaproteobacteria; Hyphomicrobiales; Rhizobiaceae.
CCCCUUUUCAACGGAACUGGAAACACCUAUAUCACUCCUGCCGGCUUUCGGGCCGGCUAUGGCGAUAAACGGUCGGUGUAAUAAACCUAUUGGACCCGGGGGCGGUACCCGGCGCCUCCACCAAAAACCGGUCGGUCCUUGAUGACCGGCUUUUGAUGGGGGCGAAAUAGGAUCGACAAGGGCGUAAAGAUCGAACUUUUGCUCGGCAUGAUACCGCCGUUAUCGGGUCACAAGUGUAGUUGCAAACGACAACAACGCUAAGGGUUAUGCUCUCGCUGCCUAAUGGCGGUGCGGGAAACCCACUCUAAAGCCCUCUAGGUUAGCCCCUUGAGGCGGGGUCCGAAGGCACCUGGCAACAGAAGCCUUCACC